Non-coding RNA from Brachypodium distachyon (stiff brome), 94 nucleotides. NCBI's taxonomy places the organism in Eukaryota, Viridiplantae, Streptophyta, Magnoliopsida, Poales, Poaceae. The record is from Rfam.
CAUGUACUCCCUCCGUCCGGAAAUAAGUGACUUGGAUUUGUAUAAAAAUCUAUACAAAUCCAAGUCACUUAUUUCCAGACGGAGGGAGUAUGAU